AUGUUUAGUCCAUCGCAAGGGUUGAGGCAGGGAGACCCCAGCUCUCCAUAUUUUUUUGUCAUUUGUGCGGAGGGCUUGUCUGCAUUACUGUUAGAUGCCGAGGCAAAAGGUAUCAUGCACGGAGUCAAAAUCAGUCCGCGGGCGCCAUGUGUAUCACACCUUCUCUUCGCUGAUGAUUCUAUGCUUUUGAUCAAAGCAAACCAGCAGGAAGCCUCGACGUUACAUGAAGUUUUGCAGCUGUAUGAAGACUGCUCCGGCCAGUGCAUAAAUGUGGAGAAAUCUGUUGUUAUGUUCAGUCCCAACACAUGUGACACUGAUAAGAAUUCCGUCAAGAAUAUGCUGGGAAUACAGAGUGAAGACUGGAAAGAAAAAUAUCUGGGCUUGCCGGUCCAUGUAGGUCAUUCAAGAAAGUGA
RNAcentral lists this ribosomal RNA (414 nucleotides) under Triticum aestivum (bread wheat). RNAcentral describes it as "partial small subunit ribosomal RNA". The record is from RNAcentral. Lineage: Eukaryota; Viridiplantae; Streptophyta; Magnoliopsida; Poales; Poaceae.